UCGUGUCGGGACUAGCCUCUUCGAGAAGCACCCUUUGUUUAUGAGCACCUCUCGUUUCCUCGGCAGGCUCGCCUGCCAACGGGGACCCACCACAAACCCAUUGUAGUACAAGAAGUACACGUCUGAACAAAACAAAACAAACUAUUUACAACUUUCAACAACGGAUCUCUUGGUUCUGGCAUCGAUGAAGAACGCAGCGAAAUGCGAUAAGUAGUGUGAAUUGCAGAAUUCAGUGAAUCAUCGAAUCUUUGAACGCACAUUGCGCCCUUUGGUAUUCCUUAGGGCAUGCCUGUUCGAGCGUCAUUUCAACCCUCAAGCCUAGCUUGGUGUUGGGCGUCUGUCCCGCCUCCGCGCGCCUGGACUCGCCUCAAAAGCAUUGGCGGCCGGUUCCCAGCAGGCCACGAGCGCAGCAGAGCAAGCGCUGAAGUGGCUGCGGGUCGGCGCACCAUGAGCCCCCCCACACCAGAAUUUUGACCUCGGAUCAGGUAGGGAUACCCGCUGAACUUAAGCAUAUCAAUAAGCCGGAGGAAUAGGAUCAUUAUCGUAGGGGCCUCCCCUUCAGAUACCCCUUAGUUUAUGAGCACUCUCUUUCCACGGGGAGCUCCCUGCCAAGGGGACCACCCAACCCAUUGGUAGUUCAGAAGAUUACCUCGGACAAAAAAACAAGUAUUUUAAACUUUAACAAGGGAAUUUUAGGGUUCGGGCAUGAUGAAAAAAACAGAAACG
RNAcentral lists this ribosomal RNA (726 nucleotides) under Corynespora cassiicola. Its description in RNAcentral is "eukaryotic LSU rRNA". The stretch from base 150 to 303 matches the Rfam family "5.8S ribosomal RNA". The record is from RNAcentral. Lineage: Eukaryota; Fungi; Ascomycota; Dothideomycetes; Pleosporales; Corynesporascaceae.